RNAcentral lists this ribosomal RNA (253 nucleotides) under uncultured bacterium. RNAcentral's name for it is "partial 16S ribosomal RNA". It matches the Rfam family "Bacterial small subunit ribosomal RNA", at positions 524 to 776 of the family's 1533-position model. The record is from RNAcentral.
UACAGAGGAUGCAAGCGUUAUCCGGAAUGAUUGGGCGUAAAGCGUCUGUAGGUGGCUUUUUAAGUCCGCCGUCAAAUCCCAGGGCUCAACCCUGGACAGGCGGUGGAAACUACCAAGCUGGAGUACGGUAGGGGCAGAGGGAAUUUCCGGUGGAGCGGUGAAAUGCGUAGAGAUCGGAAAGAACACCUGAGGCGAAGGCGGGUUGCUGGGCCGACACUGACGCUGAGGCGCGAAAGCCAGGGGAGCAAACGGG